UACAUGGGGUGCAAACGUUGCUCGGAAUCAUUGGGCGUAAAGCGCGCGUAGGCGGUUGCUUCAGUCGGAUGUGAAAGCCCUCGGCUUAACUGAGGAAGUGCAUCCGAAACUGAGCAGCUAGAGUACGAAAGAGGGUCGCGGAAUUCCCGGUGUAGAGGUGAAAUUCGUAGAUAUCGGGAGGAACACCGGUGGCGAAGGCGGCGACCUGGGUCGAGACUGACGCUGAGGCGCGAAAGCGUGGGGAGCAAACAGG
RNAcentral lists this ribosomal RNA (253 nucleotides) under uncultured bacterium. RNAcentral's name for it is "partial 16S ribosomal RNA". It matches the Rfam family "Bacterial small subunit ribosomal RNA", at positions 524 to 776 of the family's 1533-position model. The record is from RNAcentral.